Molecule: ribosomal RNA, 256 nt
Filed under: uncultured bacterium
Lineage: Bacteria
Description: partial 16S ribosomal RNA
Rfam family: Bacterial small subunit ribosomal RNA
Source: RNAcentral
UACGGAGGGUGCGAGCGUUGUCCGGAAUCACUGGGCGUAAAGGGCGCGUAGGCGGUGCGAGAAGCGUGUGGUGAAAGGCCGGGGCUCAACUCCGGCUCGGCCGUGCGGACUCUCGCGCUUUGUGAGUGCUGUAGAGGCGGGCGGAAUUCCGGGUGUAGCGGUGAAAUGCGCAGAUAUCAGGAGGAACACCAAUGGCGAAGGCAGCUCGCUGGGACGGUACUGACGCUGAGGCGCGAAAGCGUGGGGAGCAAACAGG